Molecule: ribosomal RNA, 500 nt
Filed under: uncultured bacterium
Lineage: Bacteria
Description: partial 16S ribosomal RNA
Rfam family: Bacterial small subunit ribosomal RNA
Source: RNAcentral
AUUGAACGCUGGCGGCAGGCCUAACACAUGCAAGUCGAGCGGAUGAGGGGUGCUUGCACUCUGAUUCAGCGGCGGACGGGUGAGUAAUGCCUAGGAAUCUGCCCGAUAGUGGGGGACAACGUUUCGAAAGGAACGCUAAUACCGCAUACGUCCUACGGGAGAAAGUGGGGGAUCUUCGGACCUCACGCUAUCGGCUGAGCCUAGGUCGGAUUAGCUAGUUGUUGAGGUAAUGGCUCACCAAGGCUACGAUCCGUAACUGGUGUGAGAGGAUGACCAGUCAGACAGGAAAUGAGAAACGGUCCAGACUCCUACGGGAGGCAGCAGUGGGGAAUAUUGGACAAUGGUCGAAAGCCUGAUCCAGCCAUGCCGCGUGUGUGAAGAAGGUCUUCGGAUUGUAAAGCACUUUAAGUUGGGAGGAAGGGCUGUAGGCUAAUAUCCUGCAGUUUUGACGUUACCAACAGAAUAAGCACCGGCUAACUUCGUGCCAGCCGCCGCAGUAA